Molecule: ribosomal RNA, 518 nt
Filed under: uncultured bacterium
Lineage: Bacteria
Description: partial 16S ribosomal RNA
Rfam family: Bacterial small subunit ribosomal RNA
Source: RNAcentral
GACGAACGCUGGCGGCGUGCCUAAUACAUGCAAGUCGAGCGGAGUCAUGUUGGAAGCUUGCUUCCAACAUGACUUAGCGGCGGACGGGUGAGUAACACGUAGGCAACCUGCCCCUAAGACUGGGAUAACUACCGGAAACGGUAGCUAAUACCGGGUAAUCUCUUCCCUCUCCUGAGGGAAGAAUGAAAGGCGGAGCAAUCUGCCGCUUGGGGAUGGGCCUGCGGCGAAUUAGCUAGUUGGCGGGGUAACGGCCAACCAAGGCGACGAUGCGUAGCCGACCUGAGAGGGUGAACGGCCACACUGGGACUGAGACACGGCCCAGACUCCUACGGGAGGCAGCAGUAGGGAAUCUUCCGCAAUGGGCGCAAGCCUGACGGAGCAACGCCGCGUGAGUGAUGAAGGUUUUCGGAUCGUGAAGCUCUGUUGCCAGGGAAGAACGUCCGGUAGAGUAACUGCUGCCGGAGUGACGGUACCUGAGAAGAAAGCCCCGGCUAACUACGUGCCAGCCGCCGCGGUAA